RNAcentral lists this ribosomal RNA (253 nucleotides) under uncultured bacterium. RNAcentral describes it as "partial 16S ribosomal RNA". It matches the Rfam family "Bacterial small subunit ribosomal RNA", at positions 524 to 776 of the family's 1533-position model. The record is from RNAcentral.
UACGUAGGGUGCAAGCGUUAUCCGGAAUUAUUGGGCGUAAAGAGCUCGUAGGCGGUUUGUCGCGUCUGCUGUGAAAACCCGAGGCUCAACCUCGGGCCUGCAGUGGGUACGGGCAGACUAGAGUGCGGUAGGGGAGAUUGGAAUUCCUGGUGUAGCGGUGGAAUGCGCAGAUAUCAGGAGGAACACCGGUGGCGAAGGCGGUUCUCUGGGCAUUACCUGACGCUGAGGAGCGAAAGCAUGGGGAGCGAACAGG